This 330-nucleotide ribosomal RNA is filed under the name uncultured bacterium. RNAcentral's name for it is "bacterial SSU rRNA". It matches the Rfam family "Bacterial small subunit ribosomal RNA", at positions 568 to 898 of the family's 1533-position model. The record is from RNAcentral.
UGUGUAGGCGGCCGGCUAAGUAGGGUGUGAAAGGCCUCGGCUCAACCGAGGCAUUGCGCUCUAAACUGACUGGCUUGAGUGAGAUAGGGGUGUGCGGAACUUCCAGUGGAGCGGUGAAAUGUGUUGAUAUUGGAAGGAACGCCGGUGGCGAAAGCGGCACACUGGGUCUUGUCUGACGCUGAGACACGAAAGCCAGGGGAGCGAACGGGAUUAGAUACCCCGGUAGUCCUGGCUGUAAACGAUGAGCACUAGUUGGGAGGGGCCUCGGCCCAUCCGAACGCAGCGAAAGCAUUAAGUGCUCCGCCUGGGGAGUAUGGUCGCAAGGCUGAA